RNAcentral lists this ribosomal RNA (497 nucleotides) under uncultured bacterium. Its description in RNAcentral is "partial 16S ribosomal RNA". It matches the Rfam family "Bacterial small subunit ribosomal RNA", at positions 28 to 507 of the family's 1533-position model. The record is from RNAcentral.
GAUGAACGCUGGCGGCGUGCCUAAUACAUGCAAGUCGAGCGAACGGACGAGAAGCUUGCUUCUCUGAUGUUAGCGGCGGACGGGUGAGUAACACGUGGAUAACCUACCUAUAAGACUGGGAUAACUUCGGGAAACCGGAGCUAAUACCGGAUAAUAUUUUGAACCGCAUGGUUCAAAAGUGAAAGACGGUCUUGCUGUCACUUAUAGAUGGAUCCGCGCUGCAUUAGCUAGUUGGUAAGGUAACGGCUUACCAAGGCAACGAUGCAUAGCCGACCUGAGAGGAUGAUCAGCCACACUGGAACUGAGACACGGUCCAGACUCCUACGGGAGGCAGCAGUAGGGAAUCUUCCGCAAUGGGCGAAAGCCUGACGGAGCCACGCCGCGUGAGUGAAGAAGGUCUUCGGAUCGUAAAACUCUGUUAUUAGGGAAGAACAUAUGUGUAAGUAACUGUGCACAUCUUGACGGUACCUAAUCAGAAAGCCACGGCUAACUACGUG